This is a long non-coding RNA of Pogoniulus pusillus (Red-fronted tinkerbird), 893 nucleotides long. RefSeq lists it as uncharacterized. The transcript has 5 exons. NCBI's taxonomy places the organism in Eukaryota, Metazoa, Chordata, Aves, Piciformes, Lybiidae. The record is from RefSeq and is a predicted model, not a curated record.
CUGGGUUGGAAGAUUGGUGAUCUGCAUCACCUGAGUGAGUUUUCCCAAGGGCACCUGGGAAGGUGAAGCAAUUGAGCCCACCUGAUCUGUGCGUGCCCAGAAGGCACGAGUUCUUUGUCUGAAGUGGCUGCCUUGGUGAAUACUGUGGGGUGAGAUCUGUGCGUGCCCAGAAGGCAGGAGUUCUCUGUCUGAAGUGGCUGCUUUGAAGCAGCAUCUGCUUACUGUACAUCUGUUGCAAAACAAAAGAUGACAGAGAGGUUUAUCUAUCACUUUGAUUUAUAGAUAAAGACUUAAAGGAGAAGGUGGCAAACCAGACCGAGCCUGCAGAGCAAGCUGGCAGCUGAGCUGCACUGGAUGGAAGAGUGGCUGUGAAGAGCCGAGGUGACCUGUGUGUGUCGCGGUGCUGGCAGCAGCGGCGUGGAGCUGCGUGGAGAAGCUGCUGCAAUGAGGAAGUUGGCUGCCCUGGAUGUUCAGUAGGAGCAUGGAAGCCAGCGGAUGGCCACCCUCACUACAGAUAUCCUGGAAAGCAAGUGCCACACCAGCGGAUGAGGAAGGCUGUUUGCGUGCCCAGCUCCAGAGAUACAGGUGCAAAGCAAGGUGGCCUGUGAAUCCUCAAAGUAAGGAGCAGGCACUUGAAAUCCUGAAUGAUAAAGAAGAGGUGUAAAUGGUAGCUUGUAGCAGUGUUAAAAAGCUUCACCUACACAGAAACCAGGGCAAUAUUUACUGUGAGUAGUAAAUAUCUGUAAUGGUUAUGUGGAGCUUUUCAAAUGGUAUUUCAUGGCUACUUUGCCUUUGAGUUAUUCUUUUAAAAGUUCAGCUCCUGAUGAAAACAAGUUGUAUAGCUUAUGGUAUUACUCCAGCAAAAUGAUUUCCAUAAAUAAAGCAAGAGGCAA